UUUUUUUUUAUUAUCCCCCAAUCUUCCCUCGUGCCCUCUUCUUACAAAGAUUUUUGGCUACCGUAAUUGGUGAAAGGUCGCACCUGGAAAUCGUCCAUCAUAGAGGCAUUUUCUUCACGCUGCGAUCGCGUUGUUGGCUGUUUGCUUUGCAGGCUGCAGUGAGCAGUUCCCAUAGUGCAAAAACGUCUGUAGGAAUCACGAGGCAGCGUCACGCUGGCAUGAGCAGCACCACCGCUGUGGCACAGACCAGAUGCGAGUGCCUGGCCUCGAGGCACGAGCAGACACAACAACAAGCCCCAACCGGCUCUGGAAGGCUGCUGCAACCAGGAGGCAUUACUCAACGUUGAGACAGAAAAGCUGCAACUUCCCUACGUAUUCACUUCCCAAAGCAGCAAGAAGCACGGCUGUUCCUAGCACAAAGGAGUGGAGGUGACAUCGAUCCAGGGCCUGAUUCUCAUCGCAAUGGGAAUCAGGUGGGAUUCAGCUGACCCUCACAGAAAUUAGUACCAUAAAACUGGUAUUAAUGGGCAGAGGACCUGCCAAUGGCCUGCUCUCUCACAGCCACGAGGCAUUAAAGAUGCUUUACAGGGGAGAGUCUUGUGAAAGUAAGGAUAGAAAACGUUACAUUUUUAUCUCAACUGACCAUGCUUGCAAGGGCAUCUGUGUGUAUAUAUGGGGAGGGGCUACAUGAAUGUCAGAACAGACUACAAAUAGGAGCUGUUCUUUCCAAAUUUCAUACGUUGCUUGAGUCAUAAAAAUUUAACUUCACUCAGCAAACUACCUUCCCCUCUUUGUUCAUAUUCACUCUAGUAUAUCCAUCAUUUUUGAUCCUCUACUGAUUUCUGUUGUUGGCGCUCGUUUUCUGUGACUUGAGAACCUGAAAUUAUGCUAUAUAUCUUUGUAGUUCAUUGAACUAACCAGCAUUUAUUUUAAUUUAGUAAGGAAAUAUUUGGCUGGGUGUGACCAAAUAAAUACUGUUUCUAAACCAACACAAGUAUACUGUUCACAAGGCUAUAAAGCUGUCUCAGAGCUCUAAUGACAUUGCAAGUAAAUGAAGCUUCAGUCUUCUCAUAAACAUAAUUCAAUGAGACCUCUAUGUUGCCUUUUUUUUUAAAUAGACUAUAAUAUUAUAGCACUAUUGGGCAACAAAAGUUGAAUCUUGGUAGUAAUCCAAGCUUCCAGGUUGAUAAUGGCUUUAACACUGACCUAAUAUAUAAAGGUGAACAUACACAGAGAAUGUCAGACCUCAUUAUAAAUAAGAUAAUAGUGAUAAAACACAUCACUAGUCUGUAUCAGACUAGUGAAGACAAAACUUUUCUUCGGGAGCAAAGGGCACAAAUCUUGCCACAAGAUUAUGAAGAGUUUUGUCACCGAUUUUGACAAAAAAAUAGUCAAGAACUUUGAUUUAAAGGAAGAAAUCUAACAGGCUUUUCCCUCUCAACA
Molecule: long non-coding RNA, 1443 nt
Organism: Struthio camelus australis
Lineage: Eukaryota; Metazoa; Chordata; Aves; Struthioniformes; Struthionidae
Source: RefSeq, a predicted model, not a curated record